AACGAACGCUGGCGGCAUGCCUAACACAUGCAAGUCGAACGAGAUCUUCGGGUCUAGUGGCGCACGGGUGCGUAACGCGUGGGAAUCUGCCCUUUGGUUCGGAAUAACAGUUGGAAACGACUGCUAAUACCGGAUGAUGACGAAAGUCCAAAGAUUUAUCGCCAGAGGAUGAGCCCGCGUAGGAUUAGCUAGUUGGUGUGGUAACGGCGCACCAAGGCGACGAUCCUUAGCUGGUCUGAGAGGAUGAUCAGCCACACUGGGACUGAGACACGGCCCAGAUUCCUACGGGAGGCAGCAGUGGGGAAUAUUGGACAAUGGGCGAAAGCCUGAUCCAGCAAUGCCGCGUGAGUGAUGAAGGCCUUAGGGUUGUAAAGCUCUUUUACCCGGGAUGAUAAUGACAGUACCGGGAGAAUAAGCUCCGGCUAACUCCGUGCCAGCCGCCGCGGUAA
This 449-nucleotide ribosomal RNA is filed under the name uncultured bacterium. Its description in RNAcentral is "partial 16S ribosomal RNA". It matches the Rfam family "Bacterial small subunit ribosomal RNA", at positions 29 to 523 of the family's 1533-position model. The record is from RNAcentral.